This 275-nucleotide ribosomal RNA is filed under the name uncultured bacterium. Its description in RNAcentral is "partial 16S ribosomal RNA". It matches the Rfam family "Bacterial small subunit ribosomal RNA", at positions 338 to 629 of the family's 1533-position model. The record is from RNAcentral.
CCUACGGGGGGCUGCAGCAAGGAAUUUUCGGCAAUGGGGGCAACCCUGACCGAGCAACGCCGCGUGGAUGAUGAAGUCUUUCGGGAUGUAAAAUCCUUUUCUCUAGGAAGAACACAGACGGUACUAGAGGAAUAAGCAUCGGCUAACUACGUGCCAGCAGCCGCGGUAAUACGUAGGAUGCAAGCGUUGUCCGGAAUUACUGGGCGUAAAGGGUGCGCAGGCGGCGGUUCAAGUCAGAUGUGAAAGUUUAGGGCUUAACCCUAAAGGGUCAUUUG